GUUGCCGGAGCCGUGAGCCGUGCCUGGUGGCGCUGGCAGCACAAGUAUGUGUUCCCCAAGCGCGCUGGUAUCGCUCCCUUCUUCCAGCUGACCGUCGCCAGCAUGACGUUCUUCUACUUGAUCAACUACACCAAGUUGAAGCACCACAGGAACUACAA
Drosophila ananassae is the source of this 158-nucleotide non-coding RNA. Lineage: Eukaryota; Metazoa; Arthropoda; Insecta; Diptera; Drosophilidae. The record is from Rfam.